AGGAGUGAUCAUACCAGCACUAGUGCAUCGGAUUCCAUCGAAACUUCGAAGUUAAGCACUUGGGUGAGAAUAGUUCUAAGAUGGGCUUGUCUUAUGACUUUUA
This is a non-coding RNA of Cephalotus follicularis, 103 nucleotides long. The record is from Rfam. NCBI's taxonomy places the organism in Eukaryota, Viridiplantae, Streptophyta, Magnoliopsida, Oxalidales, Cephalotaceae.